UGCAUUCACUAUUGUAAGUCGCUUUGGAUAAGAGCGUCUGCUAAAUGACUAAAA
Salmo salar (Atlantic salmon) is the source of this 54-nucleotide non-coding RNA. The record is from Rfam. NCBI's taxonomy places the organism in Eukaryota, Metazoa, Chordata, Actinopteri, Salmoniformes, Salmonidae.